Onychostruthus taczanowskii (white-rumped snowfinch) is the source of this 1554-nucleotide long non-coding RNA. RefSeq lists it as uncharacterized. The transcript has 3 exons. The record is from RefSeq and is a predicted model, not a curated record. NCBI's taxonomy places the organism in Eukaryota, Metazoa, Chordata, Aves, Passeriformes, Passeridae.
AGCCAAGCCCCUAACCAUGGAGCCCUGUGGGAAUCAGAAUUUUUUGGGGCUGCUUGGUACGCUGCCUGGGAAGGUGCAUAUAAUUUUUAGCUGUUCUUGCUGAACGUGAACCAAACGUGGGUUGAGGAAGAAGUUGAGGUGAGAAUAAAGUAACCCUUGUCUUUAGCACUUGGGAUAACUUAGAAAAGUGCCUCUUUUCCCCUGAGGCUGGGGAUCUGGUGGCCCAGGCUGCGGGUGCUGCCCGUGGCCACACUUUUUGCAGAGUAAAGCAAAAGGAAAUGUGUGGGGAAGUUGGGGAGCAAACGAGUGCCUGUGGAUGCUCCAGAAAUAGGCACCUCCACAGGGACGAGCGCGAGCGCGGGCUGGAGCCAUGGUACCCGUCUCUGCGCUUGCAUCGUGAAUUCGAGCUGUGUGCCGCUGUCCUCUAAUUUCCCAUGACAACAUAUGGAUCCCAUAAAGGCAAACAUGCCGAAGUGCAUCUGUCUGGGUAGUUAACACAAACCAAACAUCCCCCGCUCGAGAUCCCGCUGCUCCUCCGGCCGCGCUGCGCGCAGCCCUCCUGCGCCAGCCCCUCGGUGCUCCGUCUUUCUUCUCGUCGCGCUGCCGGACGAGCCCGGGUGCCCCGGGAGGGAGCAGGGCAGCAGGCGCGGGUCAGAGGAGCGGAGGGGUUAAGCGGGGAGAGGGGCGUGCGCCCUGCGGCCCCCCACCCUCCUGGGAGCUGCUCCAGCCCGAGCAGGCUCUGCCCUGGGGUCAAGUCCUAGGACAUCUUUCCCUCCCCGCCUGGCAAGGCAGGAGCUCAGGCUGGGAAGGGAAACAGCAGAUGAGCAGAGGGCAGAGGUUUGCCCCUCGUCCUGGACACAGACGUCUGGAAGCUGGGGAAAGAAAGAGUUCCCAGUUUUCCAGGUUGCAAAAAGAGGUGAUGUGUGUGAAAAGAAGGGAAGGAACAAGUGACGGCUGCAGGACCAGCGGAUAAACCACUACGCAAACACCGAAACACAGCCAAGGAAUUAAGGGAUAAUUCGUACAGAAAUCGUUAGCUGCGUGCUUCUUGGAAAUGUGUCUGAAGAAUCAGAACAAAGCAUGGAAGGCCAGAGUCCUUGAAGGAGCUCCAAAUGAUAAAGUCUGCCAUUCAUUUUAAACACUGCGUGCAUUGUAGAAACACAGGUCAAUUUGAAGGCAUUUGUCAGAUUUCCAGUUCCCUCUGCUCCUUUGCAAUGGAAAUUUGCAAUCAAAUCCCUGCGCUGGAGUUAGGAUGUCUGCCUUGAUCAGUUUGUAUGACUCUAUGCCCAAAGCACUGGCCAGGCCGUAACAUGAGUGGAUGUGUUUGCCAUGGAAAUAAACACUUGGAAUACAUCUAUAUGUUUCUUGGCUUUUUGAGAGAAAUGAAGAAAAAAGUCUUGGCAUUUAAUUAGGAGUCACUAACCUGAUAAAUAUUGAACAUCAUUUCUUUGUGAGCGGCUCCAUGUGCUCAGAGUACUCUAUGGAUGUAUUCCACAAUUGCACUUAUUUAAUGCCUGUAUCACCUCGUGCCUAUUGUAUUUAUGUUGUCAUCAA